This 8824-nucleotide unclassified non-coding RNA is filed under the name Venturia canescens. Its description in RNAcentral is "uncharacterized LOC122418864, transcript variant X1". Lineage: Eukaryota; Metazoa; Arthropoda; Insecta; Hymenoptera; Ichneumonidae. The record is from RNAcentral.
GCUGCCAUCUUUAGUUUUCGAUGGAUGUUUUCCGUAGAGAUCGCGAAUAUCUCGCUAUUUAUCGCGGUAAAUAAUAAAUCAAUUAAACUGAUAAAAUAACGGUCGAGUUUAUCGCGAUGUAACGAGUGUAAUAGAGUUCAGUAAUAAAGCUGCCCCGGUGUUAUUAGUCACAAAAAAUGAUUGUGUUUACAUUCAAGUUUGAAGUGAGCUUCUGUAUUCCUGUCACAUUAAGCAUAUGGUCGAAAGUUCUCAAAUAGCGCAGGAGGUUUAUCGGAUCGGCGGGUCGGAAGGGGCUGUUAAGGAUACGGAGUCGAGGAGGAUAUCGUCGGUGGGAAGGGCCCCGAUCAUCUCGGGGUUGGAAUUUCGAUCAGCAACGCAUCGUCAAAGGCCUUCAAGACGUCGACCCCGUCGGUUAUCAAGUUAACGGGGGCUGGUGGGCCGGUUGGAGGAGGAAGAGGAAGUGGGAGCGGUGGCGCAGUAUCGAGUGAAGAAAAGUUGUCUGGCGGAGGGCAAAGUUGCGGGGGAUCGACGGGUUCGUCAGGAGGAGUAGCGAUAGUGGUACCAGCGAUUGGUACGGCAGUUUCGAGCGUUGUAACUCGUGACAAGUGCAUCGGUAGCAGCGAUGCUGCCAAUUUAUCGGACAAUAUUAACGUCACGGUCACAGGAAGCAACGUUAUCGACUACGCCGUUGCGAAACCGGCGGAGGCGACCAGUAUGAGUUUCGUUUUACAGUUGGAGAGCAAUGCCGACGAGCGGGAUCACAAAAAUGUUAAUAUUCCGAGCAACGAUUCGAAGGGAAGGACGAGCUCGAGCGCGGAAGUCGUGCCGACGUCGGCGACGUCUUCCUCAUCGUUAUCGUCAACGUCAGCAGCGGUGUUACAAAUAGCGCGGGAUACAACAACGGUGGUUGAGACUAGCGCUUGUUUGUCCGGCGGCAAAUUGCCAGUAGUUUAUCCGGGCAGCAAUCAGCAAUCGAGAAUCAGUCAGAUUUUACAGAAUCCUAAAAAUCUAGCGAUUCCGACGUGCAACAAUGCAGGCACGGCUGUCCUAACCGGCGGAGUUUCCAGUAACAAUAAUAAGCAGUCGGGACAAGCGACGCUCGUUUAUUCCGCGGGCAGAACGGCCAAGGAAGUCCCGAAAGUCGCGUGUCAACAAACAACGAACACGACUCAGGCGCUGACGACGCGCGUCGUCUCACAAAAGUUGCCGACCGGUGGAAAUAUUCAGCAAUUCGUCAAUGCUAAUGCGAGCUCCUGCAUCAACGCUGUCGUCAACAGCGCUGUCAUAUCCUCCACGAAUUCGCUGUCCGUUGGAGGGAACGUCUGUCAAAGCGGCAUGAAGGCCACGCUGACACCGACCGGCAACAAUCUCGUAUGCCCUUCGCUGAGCCAGGCUCAGAUUGCCGCCGCCGUAUGUACGCAAAAUUCCAAUCAAUCGGUCAAGCUGACCAGCGCUAAUUUCGAAACUUUACAAUGUAACAAAAGUUCCCAACAGCAAACGACGAUGGCGACCCUAACUGCGGUAACUCAAGGCUCAGGGGUGCAGCAGAAAUUGCAACAAGUGCCGGUACAACACGUGGUCGGUAGCCUCGCCGGAAUAAAAUCAAUCAACGCUAUCGGCUCGUUGCAGAAUAUUCACAGGAUACAGGUGAAAACUGCUCAGGGCGUGCCGAUAACAGGUGCUUUGGCUGGAUCCCAAACGAUGAAUUUUCAAAAGCUCAAAAGUAUCAGUGGCCCUCCGAACAAUCAACAGGUUAACGUCCAGCGAACACCAGUUUCUCGUGUACUCACGCAAACUAAAUCGCAACAAGCGUCGCUCACUUCUUCGGCUCAAUCCACCAGUCAACAAAUCACCAUGAACCAGGCAAUGAGCAACGCGAGUAUGCAGCGAGUUCAACAGUUACCCGCGGUUCAGGGAAAAACCGUUGUGAACAAAUCUUCGAAUCAACCGCAGCAGCAGCAACAGCAGCAGCAGCAGCAACAACAAAUAUUUACGAAUCAAAAAGUUGUGCAGGGACAAAUUUUAAUGAACGCAUCGAACCAUUCGAAUCAGAAAUUACACCAGGUCCCACCGGUACAACAAAUCUCGUCUCAGCAACAAACAACGAGCCAACAGCAACAAGUCAGUCAGCCUCAACAGAUUAAUCAACAGACUCAAGUUAUUCAACACAAGUUGCCGCCUGUUUUGCCUCAGAAAACACAGGUCGUUCAAAAGCAGCAGCAACAUUUACUCGUCGGUGCUCUCAACAACGUCCAAAAAUCUUCUGUCCCAGCUGUGCCGAGCUCAACCCCGAAAAACAAUGUUGCUCAACCAGGUUUACCUGCCCACAUGACGAAUCAGCAACCGGUGCAGAAACACGCCGGAGUUGCACAAAACGCAGCGCAGCAGUCGAGGCCACAGGGAGUUGCGGCUAAUUCUCAAAAGUCUCAAUCAACGCCUGUUCAGCGCGUUGGCACAGCUCAGACAACUGUUGUCACCAAUGUUCCACAAAAAGCUGGCCCGAUUACGAAUUUGCCCGGCGGUAAUCAAAGAAAUCAGAGCAUUGGCGGUACCAAAAUUCAACAGCCCCAGCAACAGCAGCAACAAAUGAUAAUGAGAGUCGGGCCAACGAAAAAUCCCCAAAAUAUGAAUGCCGGCAGUUUGAAAAACAUCUCACAAAAAACGACCAACAUCGUUAAGGCCGGAAACCAACCGGGUGUCGUCCAAGCUACCCCGAAUCGAAACUUGAAUGCCCAAACCUUGAAAAUCAUUCAGCAGUCCCAGCAAAAUCAACAGUUGCAGCAACAAGCUCUCCACGUCGCACAGCCCCCACAGCAACAACAGCAACAAUGUUCUGUGAUGCCAGGAGGCCAACCGAUUCCCCAAAAAUUACCAGGUUGCAUAAAAACUAUACCCCCACAAAAACCACCGACCCAGCGAAACAACGCGCAACAGAAAAUCACCGGUAUUAAAACUUCACUCAACACCAAUAUGAGCGCUCUCAAAGUCCAGUCCCAAAAUGUUACGAUGCCCCAAAAAUCGACCAUCAGGACGCUUCUGCCUCAACAACAAUCAGCUGUCGCUAAUAUGAUGCUUCACAAGAAUCAAACUGUCAAAAUACAGCAGCAAAAUAUUCAACAAAAACAAAUGAUCCUGGCGCCUCAGUAUUCUCAACAAAUACGGCCGCAGACCGGACAAAUUAAAACUUUGGUACCGGUCACAACGACGGAGUCUCGAAAGGAAUUGGACAUCAAAAACGAAAUGGAAUCUCACUCUGCGAAGGACGAGGACAUCCAAUCACAGGCGCUGCAGUCGCCCGUACGAAGGAUGCCCUUGCCGUAUGAGUGUCUCCAGUUUGUCCUACAAGACCACAACUACGGUGCACCACCUCCGAGAACACCGCCACCCGCGUCACCGCCACCUCAUCCGAAGCAACAACCGAUAAACGGUGCGGGUGCAUCGACUGUGACACUGCAACAUCCUUUUAUCUACUCGCAAGCUGUAAGUGGCAGUAACGCAGUGGACGAUGCAGCGAGUGCGAUCAGUAGCGAAGCAGGUCGAGAGGCCGAACCGGAGGGCGAAGAGACGGAAACAGCACCGGAAGGCGAGGGUGAUGAUGAGGACAGUGUGACUCGCUGCAUAUGUGAAUUCGAGCACGAUGACGGUUACAUGAUUUGCUGCGAUCGCUGCCUUGUAUGGCAGCACGUGGAUUGCAUGGGAAUAGAUCGAUCGAACAUUCCGGAAGAAUAUCUAUGCGAGAUAUGUCGACCCCGCCGAGUGGACCGUCAACGAGCACGAGGUUUGCAGAUGCGAAAGCGAGAGGAGCUUCUGAAUUCGGACACGUCAUCGGACGCUUCAUCGACGAGUUCUGCGGACACGGAUGUCGCGGUGAACACUGGCCCGAAAAAGCGUAACGUUCAGCAACACCAGCAGCAGCAACAACAGCAACAAGCGCAACAGCAACAUCAGCAACAACAACAACAGCAGCAGCAGCAGCAGCAACAACAACAAACGCAGCAACAGCAGCAGCAGCAACAACAACAACAACAAGCGCACCAACAUCAACAACAGCAGCAACAAGUGGCACGAAGAAAAUCUGAUCCACCACCUCAGUUGCGUCGAUUGAACAAUAACAACAACAAUAAUAACAAUAACGUUGCCAAGCGACAAAGACGCGAGCAAAAUCCUCGGCAAACGAGCGCUGUGCGUAAGAAAGAAACGGCUAAACGUGGCCCCGGUAAACGAAAAGUCAAGAGACGCAUGAGCCUCGACGAUCGAGAAGAAGAAACACAAGAUGCUUGGGGCUCGAAUAUGGCGCCCCUCCGACAAUGGAUCGAGAGAUACGAGGAAGCUGUUACGAAUCAUUACAGCCCCGAAUUGAGAGCCAGAAUAUCCAGCAUCAAAGUUAACGGAACUCACAACGAUCUUAAACAGGGCAACAUGAACGUUGUUGCCACGGGCAAGUGUAGACUCAACGUCCAUAGCAACAAUCUUAGGUUUCUCGUGGCAACGAUGUAUCUGCCGCCCAACACGCCGGUGCUAGAGUUACGUGGAAAGUACAUGCUCAGCACGCAGCACAGGCCGUCUCAUCCGCAGGGUCGACAACAUGCCCAGAGGCCGGGUCCUUUUGUAUUUUUUUAUCGUUUACCACGAGACGGUACCGAAGUGUGCGUGGAUACGCGAACGUAUGGAAACGACGCGAGAUUCGUUCGUCGAAGUUGUAAACCAAACGCGGAAGUGAAGCAUUGUAUUGAGAAGGGAACGCUCCACCUUUACAUUGUAACGAGUUCGGCGAUCGAGAAGAACGUAGAAAUAACCAUUCGUCAUGAGCAACAUGAUCUAAUGCUGUCGCCAAAUCCGAACGCGACUGCGGUAAUGCCGCUUGUUUGUGCUUGCAACAAUCCGCGUUCGUGUCAGAUCGCCGCGACCGCCGGACAACUGACAACUCGACGAGGAAGCAACGGCGCCCUCGCGGAAAACGCUGACGGCCGGGAGAGGAGACGACGAGGUCGUAGAAAUACCGUUUGCGAGGACAGCGAUUCGUUGUCGACUCUGUCGUCGACGAGUAUCACGCCCACCACGAGUACAACUACGCCGCAGACGACGUCCACGGUUCAGCCGCGUCGUACAGCGACUGUUGUCACGAGCGUACCCACUCCGACGGCGACGGUAACUCGUCCGAAUCCCAAGGAAGAAGUCGUGCCGGUUCCGCAGCAACGGCAAGCUUCACCCUUGAGAACAGCGACGACGCAAGCACCCCAAACGCAACAGCAGCAACAACCUCAACCACAACAGCAAACGCAGCAACCGGUGACGCAGCAACAACCUCAACCAGCUCCGCAGGAACCAACACCCGCGACUCCAACGGUCACAACUCCCGCCGUCGUAACACCGAGCCAACCUCCUCAAGAAUCUAAAAAGGACAAGAAAAAAAUGACUCGCGAGGAACGCAAGAUGGAAGCUAUCAUGAAAGCUUUCGAGAGGAUGGAAAAAGCUGAGCAGAGAAAGCAAGAAGUACAGGCGAGAAACGCUCAGCGCAAAGAAUCCGGUGGUACGCACAGUGACAACGACGAACGCGAGAGUGUUUUGCAUCACGUUGCUAAAUCGAAGCACACCAUCGAACGACCCAUCCGUCGAAAGCGGCGGAAGGGUAGAGCGAGAACCACCAGCAGCUCACACUCCCAAAACAGCAAUCGGAGAACCCGCUUGAAUUCGGCCGAUUCGGACCUCUCCUCCGGCGAAGAAAGCUCCACUAUGCAAUCCCCACCGUCAUCCAGUCAACACAUGUGCUUACCGACUCGGGAUACAUCCUCCUAUUCACCCCGGUUGUUGCACACCCCCACCAAGGAUUCCGACAACGACCCUCUCGCUCGCGAUAGCAAUCAAACCAUACCGACCGCCGCCGGACUUUUGCUCGCUCUCGCCAAUUCCUCCGCGGUCCCUGGACCCAGUUCACCGACUCUCCAACAAGUCGCUCCCAUCAAGAGUCCAACCUGCGACAGUGGCGCGAGUAGCAGCUCCCAAAGCUCAACUCCGUCCACGCCACUCUCCUCGGCUUGCCUCCUCGUCGCAGCCGCCGUUGGACCUCUCGCUCCGGGCUUCAAAUUUCCAAAAACUAAAAAAGUACUCAUGAACGAGUGGCUCAAGGAAUCGCCCGACCCUCCCCAAGCCCAUGCCCAAACAUCCGGCGUCUCUUCGCCUCCGGCCACUAUUCAGAACACCAACGCUUCUACCCUCGCCAACAAUCCCGCCGCGACAAAACCAACCGACUUUUUGUCUCCCACCGAUCCAUCCUCGGAGUUUUUGACACAAAGUUACGCCGCCAAGGGACUGGCUACUCUCGUUCAAGCCGCUAAUUCCGUUUCCGGUAUUAUCGAUUCACCUCCUCAACGGAAACAAACCGCUAACACAAACUCCGCUUGUCCUGUUUCUUCCGGAUCCGCUAAGAAGCGGUGGCUCCGUCAAGCCAUCUCCGAAGAAUGCGACUCGCCCAACAGCAGGCCUGAAAGUCCUCCCAAUGAAAUUGUCGCUGCUCCGCCCAAAAAACGACGCAUCGCCAGGGAAAGCUUGUCCUCCGAUAAUUAUACUCCACCAACUACACCGACGCUUCUCGCUCCAGACUCUACGAACGCGAACUCGACCCUCUCCAAUAACGAGCAUGAUUUCAUCGAUCAUCCACAAUCGCCAGUUUCGGUGGAAGGAAGAGUCCGCAUGGACUUUGAGUCCGAAUCGAUAAAGGAGGAGACAAAUUUCGAAUCGGAAAAAAUGAUUUUUUCGGAGAACAAGACAAAGUCGCGGAUAACGACGGUCGAGGCGGUCGUGGUGAAGAAAGAAAUCGAUACGGAAAUUCGAGAAACAAAAUCGACAGUCGCAACAGUAAAAGUCGAGACCGAGGAGAUGAUGAAGGUAGAUUCAAAAAAUUUGUUAAAAACGGAGCCGAUGGAUACGAAGGAAGGAUUGGAUGUGAAAUCGUCGGUUGUUAUUAAAACAGAGACAAAAGUAUCGUUAAAGCGAGAGCACGAGCCCGACGAAAUGCCCGUGAAAUCUGAAAAUUCGUUCAUCACGAGUGUCAAACGAAAACCGUUGAUAAAAAGAGAAACGAGAUCACCGGAAAUUGAAAAAGGAACGGUGGAGAUCAUCGAUCAGAACGAGCCGGACACAGAAAUGGAAGAUCUCAGUUCGCCGAUCGCUGCGAUGGAAUCCGACGCUGAGCUGAAGCAACGAGUCGCCGAAAUGAGGCUCGAGUUCGGUGGCAGUGUCGCCGAGAUUGUCAGCAUAGCCAGUGAGAAUGAGAAAUCGGACGACGACGCUCGAGAGCCAACGAUUUACGAGCGAUCGCAAGACGUUCGUUCGGAAGAUAAUGCAUCGAUCGACGAGUUUGACGUCGAGGCGCAGAUGAAAAAAAUCACGGGUGACGAUGGAAACGACUACAAGGAAAAAAUUGACACGAGCUCGGAGCGUGACAAUAAAAGCAUGGACGGGAUCGAGGGUCUGAUGGAAAGUUCGAAAGAAGAUUCGGACUCGGACGAUCAUGACAUCGAGGACCUCAAGUACAACGAAGCGUCGCCGAAGUUCCGUGCUUUCGAGGAAAGUUUACCGGUGGAAGAACGUAGAUUCAAGGAAUUCGAGAGUACUCGAGAACCCAAAGACGCGCCUGACGACGCGACCGUUGACGACUCGUUUGGAACAGCGACGAAAGUUGAACCCAUCAAACCGGAAGUCAGUCAAACUGUUUCUUUAGGAUCUUCCGAAGAAUCAAUGUUCGACUCGGUCUCUUCGAGCAUGGACAUGGCGAUGGAAAACGUCGCUUCUGCCGAUGAUCCCAAGAUUUUUCAAUCGAUUCCACCACUCAGCGAGCGUAUAAGAAAAAAACCCGAGUCCACGGGCAUGUCGAAGAAACAACUUGAGCUCGUUGAAGCCGCCAUAAUCGAAUCGACGAUCGAUCUUGAAUCGAGUGAAAUAUCGGAAAAUGGCGAUGACAAAAGCAUCAUGUCAACCGCACUCAGGAAUCUACUCGGAUCUAAAAUCGACGAUGACACGACGCCCAAAUUGACCAACGAAAACGAUCUUACAGAAAGCAUCAAUCCUCCGCCCUUGUGCGACAGACUCGAGGAAUUUAUAGUCGCUAGUGCACCUGAUACCACCAUCAUACACGUCCCAAAUGACAAACCAGUCGCAGACAACCCCACGAAAGAAGAAGAAAUUCCGCAACCUGAAAUUCGAAGACUUAAAGAUCCGAGAACAGUUGUGCCUAACGAGAUGCCAGCGCCACCUCCUUUCAAACCAGACGUUCCAACCCCAGUCAAGCGCAAGGUUAGAACGCUCUCCAUAUCGGAAUACAGAAAAAGGAAGCAACAAUCGUCCGGUACACCACCAGAGCCUGAGCCCUCGAACGAUCCUUCGUCCUCGGAGAAGAGUGCGUCUCGCGGAAGAUCCGAUAGCGCUAGCAGCGGCACAUCGUCGUUGAGUUCAGACGAAGAAAUUUCGAAAGCAGCCCUUGAUUUGCCCAGUUUAACGACGCUCCCCCUAUUUGCUAACAACGAGGCCGAAGAACGCAAAGUGUACCCGCAGGUGGUGAAGAAGGCACCAUCGGUUGGUCGGCCGCCCCAACCCUCGUCGAAAGACAACGCGAAAAUCUUACCGAGAGAUUGAAACGGGAGUUUGGUCUGUUUCUCAGCGACGAUGAGGAGGAACGAGCGCGAAAACAAGGUUUGACGGCCGAGGCUAUAUUAAAAGCUCGUAAAGCUGGAUCGCCCCCGCAGCCUGUGAUACCGGGAGUUUUGUCGGCGUAUCCAUUGCCUCAGUUGCCACCACAGCCUUACAUACCACCGCCGGGGUCGGCAGC